Molecule: non-coding RNA, 399 nt
Organism: Arachis ipaensis
Lineage: Eukaryota; Viridiplantae; Streptophyta; Magnoliopsida; Fabales; Fabaceae
Source: RefSeq, a predicted model, not a curated record
AUGUAUAUAUGAAUCUACAAUAUGUUUCUAAUAGAAGUAAAUUUUCAUUAACAAGAAGAGAAGGAUGUUACAUGAGGAAGAGAACAUGAGAGGUUUUCAUGAUUGAGGCAUUGGUUUUCAUUAUUAGUUUGAAUGCUUAUAUAGUCUUCUUAUUUUCUUGGUUAUAUAGUCUUCUUGUUUUCUUGGUUUUAUUGGUUUUCAUGAUUAGUUUGAAUGGGGUGUAUUCAAUAAAAAUUGUUAGUUGCGCUCACUAUGUUAACUCUCUGCAGGCAAAACAGAAAGAAAUAGCCGAGUCUGAGAAGGAAGUAUCUAAUCGAAUCAGGAAUCUGUACAAGAAAGAAUAUGCAAAAAAACAGAGUAGGCAAGUACGGCUGUGCACUAAAACUCCACCUUCGAGUA